AGCAACCUACCCUAAAGACGAGGAUAACCAUUGGAAACAGUGGCUAAGACUGGAUAGGAAGAUAAAAGGCAUCUUGUAUCUUUUAAAAGACCUAGUUAAUAGGUAUGCUUUAGGAGGGGCUUGCGCCAUAUUAGUUAGUUGGUAGGGUAAUGGCCUACCAAGACGAUGAUGUGUAGCUGGACUGAGAGGUUGAACAGCCACAUUGGGACUGAGACACGGCCCAAACUCCUACGGGAGGCAGCAGUAGGGAAUUUUCGGCAAUGGAGGAAACUCUGACCGAGCAACGCCGCGUGAAUGACGAAGUACUUCGGUAUGUAAAGUUCUUUUAUCGAGGAAGAAAAGCAAAUGGCGAACCAUUUGUUUGCCGGUACUUGAUGAAUAAGCCCCGGCUAAUUAUGUGCCAGCAGCCGCGGUAAGACAUAAGGGGCAAGUGUUAUCCGGAAUUAUUGGGCGUAAAGGGUGCGUAGGCGGUCUAGUAAGUCAGUGGUGUAAUGGCAACGCUUAACGUUGUCCGGCUAUUGAAACUGCUAAACUUGAGUUAGAUAGAGGCGAGUGGAAUUCCAUGUGUAGCGGUAAAAUGCGUAAAUAUAUGGAGGAACACCAGAGGCGUAGGCGGCUCGCUGGGUCUUAACUGACGCUGAGGCACGAAAGCGUGGGGAGCAAACAGGAUUAGAUACCCUGGUAGUCCACGCCGUAAACGAUGAGUACUAAGUGUCGGGUUAAACCGGUACUGAAGUUAACACAUUAAGUACUCCGCCUGAGUAGUACGUACGCAAGUAUGAAACUUAAAGGAAUUGACGGGACUCCGCACAAGCGGUGGAUCAUGUUGUUUAAUUCGAAGAUACCCGAAAAACCUUACCAGGUCUUGACAUGUUUUUGCAAAAUGAUAGUAAUAUCGUGGAGGUUACCAGAAACACAGGUGGUGCAUGGUUGUCGUCAGCUCGUGUCGUGAGAUGUUAGGUUAAGUCCUAAAACGAGCGAAACCCUUAUCGUUAGUUGCCAGCACGUUAUGGUGGGGACUUUAACGAGACUGCCAAUGAUAAAUUGGAGGAAGGUGAGGAUCACGUCAAAUCAGCAUGCCCCUUAUGACCUGGGCUACAAACGUGAUACAAUGGCUGUUACAAAGGGUAGCUGAAACGCAAGUUCUUGGCCAAUCCCCAAUAACAGUCCCAGUCCGGAUUGAAGUCUGCAACUCGACUUCAUGAAGUUGGAAUCGCUAGUAAUCGCGAAUCAGCAUGUCGCGGUGAAUACGUUCUCGGGGUUUGUACACACCG
RNAcentral lists this ribosomal RNA (1274 nucleotides) under Areca yellow leaf disease phytoplasma. RNAcentral describes it as "bacterial SSU rRNA". It matches the Rfam family "Bacterial small subunit ribosomal RNA", at positions 120 to 1392 of the family's 1533-position model. The record is from RNAcentral. Lineage: Bacteria; Bacillati; Mycoplasmatota; Mollicutes; Acholeplasmatales; Acholeplasmataceae.